This 64-nucleotide transfer RNA is filed under the name Ceruchus minor. RNAcentral describes it as "tRNA-Thr". The record is from RNAcentral. Lineage: Eukaryota; Metazoa; Arthropoda; Insecta; Coleoptera; Lucanidae.
GUUUUAGUAAUUUAAACAAAAAUAUUGGUCUUGUAAACCAAUCUUAAGACUCACUUCUAAAACU